UGCUGCUGUAUCAACAUCAAUUGAUUCAACAGAAGCCUCUAUCUCCUGAGAAUGAGAGGACUGAAGACCUUACAGUGGUGCAAGAAAGUUUCACUCCAAGGGGAAUUGGUUCUCUGCCUAGGAUGUUCAGUGGAAUCAUCUGGAGAGGAUUUCCUUGAACAUCAGACACGGGUGUUGACUGAAGCACCGCCCUUCGAGGACUCAUGCCAGCUCACAGUGUCUAUCCACAAGGCCAGUCCAUCAAUGAGAGAUCAUUCAAUUACAAGAGACAGAACUCAACUCAUUUAA
RNAcentral lists this long non-coding RNA (288 nucleotides) under Macaca nemestrina (pig-tailed macaque). RNAcentral describes it as "lncRNA (ENSMNEG00000045768.1)". Lineage: Eukaryota; Metazoa; Chordata; Mammalia; Primates; Cercopithecidae. The record is from RNAcentral.